This 866-nucleotide ribosomal RNA is filed under the name uncultured bacterium. RNAcentral's name for it is "bacterial SSU rRNA". It matches the Rfam family "Bacterial small subunit ribosomal RNA", at positions 26 to 896 of the family's 1533-position model. The record is from RNAcentral.
AGAACGAACGCUGGCGGCGUGCUUAACACAUGCAAGUCGCGUGCGCAGUCUGUAGCAAUACAGGCCGGCGCACGGCGCACGGGUGCGUAACACGUGGGCAAUCUGCCCUCUGAUGGGGAAUAACCCCGCGAAAGCGGGGCUAUACCGCAUAACAUUUCGAGGACCUCGGUUCUUGAACUGAAAGCAGUAAUGCGUCGGAGGAGGAGCCCGCGCCCGAUUAGCUAGUUGGUGAGGUAACGGCUCACCAAGGCAAUGAUCGGUAGCUGGUCUGAGAGGAUGAUCAGCCACACUGGAACUGAGACACGGUCCAGACUCCUACGGGAGGCAGCAGUGGGGAAUCUUGCACAAUGGGCGAAAGCCUGAUGCAGCGACGCCGCGUGGGGGAUGAAGCUUUUCGGAGUGUAAACCCCUUUCGACUGGGACGUAAACCCGCAAGGGAUUGACGGUACCAGUAUAAGAAGCCCCGGCUAACUACGUGCCAGCAGCCGCGGUAGGACGUAGGGGGCCAGCGUUGUUCGGAAUUACUGGGUGUAAAGGGUUCGUAGGCGGUGUGGCAAGUUGGGAGUGAAAUCUCUGGGCUCAACCCAGAGACUGCUUCCAAAACUGCUGUGCUUGAGUGUGAGAGAGGCUCGUGGAAUUGCAGGUGUAGCGGUGAAAUGCGUAGAUAUCUGCAGGAACACCCGUGGCGAAAGCGGCGAGCUGGAUCACUACUGACGCUGAGGAACGAAAGCUAGGGGAGCAAACAGGAUUAGAUACCCUGGUAGUCCUAGCCCUAAACGAUCAGGACUUGGGGUGCCGCCCGUUCGGGCGUCGUCCCGGAGCUAACGCGUUAAGUCCUGCACCUGGGGAGUACGGUCGCAAGACUG